This 508-nucleotide ribosomal RNA is filed under the name uncultured Glomeraceae. RNAcentral describes it as "SSU rRNA". It matches the Rfam family "Eukaryotic small subunit ribosomal RNA", at positions 569 to 1078 of the family's 1831-position model. Lineage: Eukaryota; Fungi; Glomeromycota; Glomeromycetes; Glomerales; Glomeraceae. The record is from RNAcentral.
AGCAGCCGCGGUAAUUCCAGCUCCAAUAGCGUAUAUUAAAGUUGCUGCAGUUAAAAAGCUCGUAGUUGAAUUUCGGGACUAAUAUGUUGGUCGUGCCUCGGUACGUACUGAUAUUUUUGGUUUCUCCCUUCUGACGAACCUUGAUGUCAUUAAUUUGGUGUCUUGGGAAAUCAGGACUGUUACUUUGAAAAAUUAGAGUGUUUAAAGCAGGCUCACGCUUGAAUACAUUAGCAUGGAAUAAUGAAAUAGGACGUUUGAUUCUAUUUUGUUGGUUUCUAGGAUCGACGUAAUGAUUAAUAGGGAUAGUUGGGGGCAUUAGUAUUCAAUUGUCAGAGGUGAAAUUCUUGGAUUUAUUGAAGACUAACUACUGCGAAAGCAUUUGCCAAGGAUGUUUUCAUUAAUCAAGAACGAAAGUUAGGGGAUCGAAGACGAUCAGAUACCGUCGUAGUCUUAACCAUAAACUAUGCCGACUAGGGAUCGGAUGAUGUUUAAUUUUUUAAUGUACUCA